GUAGUCAUAUGCUUGUCUCAAAGAUUAAGCCAUGCAAGUCUAAGUAUAAACAAGUUUGUACUGUGAAACUGCGAAUGGCUCAUUAAAUCAGUUAUAGUUUAUUUGAUGAUAAUUUGCUACAUGGAUAACUGUGGUAAUUCUAGAGCUAAUACAUGCAUCACAAGCCCCGACUUCUGGAAGGGGUGUAUUUAUUAGAUAAAAGACCAACGCGGCUUGCUGCUCCUUUGGUGAUUCAUAAUAACUUGUCGAAUCGUACGGCCUUGCGCUGACGAUGCAUCAUUCAAAUAUCUGCCCUAUCAAUUUUCGAUGUUAGGAUAGUGGCCUACCAUGGUUUCAACGGGUAACGGGGAAU
RNAcentral lists this ribosomal RNA (352 nucleotides) under uncultured fungus. RNAcentral's name for it is "SSU rRNA". It matches the Rfam family "Eukaryotic small subunit ribosomal RNA", at positions 20 to 370 of the family's 1831-position model. Lineage: Eukaryota; Fungi. The record is from RNAcentral.